Molecule: ribosomal RNA, 1160 nt
Filed under: uncultured organism
Description: bacterial SSU rRNA
Rfam family: Bacterial small subunit ribosomal RNA
Source: RNAcentral
GAGGGUGAUCGGCCACAUUGGGACUGAGAUACGGCCCAGACUCCUACGGGAGGCAGCAGUAGGGAAUUUUGCGCAAUGGACGAAAGUCUGACGCAGCGACGCCGCGUGAGGGAUGACGGCCUUCGGGUUGUAAACCUCUGUUGAGUGGGACGAAAACUCGCAGGGUUAAUACCCCUGCGACCUGACGGUACCACUCGAGGAAGCUCCGGCUAACUACGUGCCAGCAGCCGCGGUAAUACGUAGGGAGCAAGCGUUGUUCGGAAUCACUGGGCGUAAAGGGAGUGUAGGCGGGAAAGUAAGUUAGGAGUGAAAUACACAGGCUUAACCUGUGGCCCGCUCUUAAUACUGCUUUUCUUGAGUAUGGGAGAGGAAGAUGGAAUUCCAGGUGUAGCGGUGGAAUGCGUAGAUAUCUGGAAGAACACCAGUAGCGAAGGCGGUCUUCUGGCCCAAUACUGACGCUGAGGCUCGAAAGCUAGGGGAGCAAACAGGAUUAGAUACCCUGGUAGUCCUAGCCGUAAACGAUGGACACUAGUUGUCGGGGGAGUCAAUCCCUUCGGUGACGAAGCUAACGCAUUAAGUGUCCCGCCUGGGGGGUACGCUCGCAAGGGUGAAACUCAAAGGAACUGACGGGGGCCCCCACAAGCGGUGGAGCAUGUGCUUUAAUUCGAUGCAACGCGAAGAACCUUACCUGGGUUUGACAUGGGGGUGAAAGUAACCAGAGAUGGAUACCUUUCCUUCGGGAACACCCCACACAGGUGCUGCAUGGUUGUCGUCAGCUCGUGUCGUGAGAUGUUGGGUUAAGUCCCGCAACGAGCGCAACCCCUACCCUUAGUUGCCAGCGGGUUAUGCCGGGAACUCUAGGGGGACUGCCUGGACUAACCAGGAGGAAGGUGGGGAUGACGUCAAAUCCUCAUGGCCCUUACGCCCAGGGCUAGACACGUGCUACAAUGGCCGGUACAAUAGGCUGCGAACUCGCGAGAGUAAGCUAAUCCGAUAAAACCGGCCUCAGUUCGGAUUGGAGUCUGCAACUCGACUCCAUGAAGGUGGAAUCGCUAGUAAUCGCGGAUCAGCAUGCCGCGGUGAUACGUUCCCGGGCCUUGUACACACCGCCCGUCAAGCCAUGAAAGACGGUAGUGCCCGAAGUCGUUCCCCUAACCCUC